GAAUCUUGGACAAUGGGCGCAAGCCUGAUCCAGCAAUGCCGCGUGGGUGAAGAAGGCCUUCGGGUUGUAAAGCCCUUUCGGCGGGGAAGAAAUCGGUCAGGCGAAUAGUCUGGCUGGAUGACGGUACCCGCAGAAGAAGCACCGGCUAACUACGUGCCAGCAGCCGCGGUAAUACGUAGGGUGCGAGCGUUAAUCGGAAUUACUGGGCGUAAAGGGUGCGCAGGCGGCCCUGGUAAGACCGGUGUGAAAUCCCCGGGCUCAACCUGGGAAUUGCGCUGGUGACUGCAGGGCUAGAGUACGGUAGAGGGGGGUGGAAUUCCUGGUGUAGCAGUGAAAUGCGUAGAGAUCAGGAGGAACACCGAUGGCGAAGGCAGCCCCCUGGGCCUGUACUGACGCUCAUGCACGAAAGCGUGGGGAGCAAACAGGAUUAGAUAUCCUGGUAGUCCACGCCCUAAACGAUGAGAACUAGCCGUCUGGAGUCUUCGUGCUCUGGGUGGCGCAGCUAACGCGUGAAGUUCUCCGCCUGGGGAGUACGGCCGCAAGGUAAAACUCAAAGGAAUUGACGGGGACCCGCACAAGCGGUGGAUGAUGUGGAUUAAUUCGAGCAACGCGAAGAACCUUACCU
This 625-nucleotide ribosomal RNA is filed under the name Tepidiphilus sp. enrichment culture clone SEQ44_9AClone_AER. RNAcentral describes it as "bacterial SSU rRNA". It matches the Rfam family "Bacterial small subunit ribosomal RNA", at positions 359 to 976 of the family's 1533-position model. The record is from RNAcentral. Lineage: Bacteria; Pseudomonadati; Pseudomonadota; Hydrogenophilia; Hydrogenophilales; Hydrogenophilaceae.